CCUACGGGCGGUAGCAGUGAGGAAUAUUGGUCAAUGGGCGGGAGCCUGAACCAGCCAAGUCGCGUGAGGGAAGACGGUCCUAUGGAUUGUAAACCUCUUUAGGCGGGGAGCAAUGCCGGGCACGCGUGCCCGGAGGGAGAGUACCCGCAGAAUCAGCCUCGGCUAACUCCGUGCCAGCAGCGGCGGUAAUACGGAGGAUGCGAGCGUUAUCCGGCUUGAUUGGGGUUAAAGGGUGCGUCGGCGGAUGUUUAGGUCAGCGUUAAAAUGUAGGGGCUCAACCCGGGCCGGCUGUUGAAACUGGGGAUCUUGAGUGGGCGAGAAGUAUGCGGAAUGCGUGGUGUAGCGGUGAAAUGCAUAGAUAUCACGCAGAACUCCGAUUGCGAAGGCAGCAUACCGGCGCCCGACUGACGCUGAGGCACGAAAGCGUGGGGAUCGAACAGGAUUAGAUACCCGAGUAGUC
RNAcentral lists this ribosomal RNA (460 nucleotides) under uncultured bacterium. RNAcentral's name for it is "partial 16S ribosomal RNA". It matches the Rfam family "Bacterial small subunit ribosomal RNA", at positions 338 to 795 of the family's 1533-position model. The record is from RNAcentral.